UGCCUCGACAAUGAAUACACAUUGCAUCUUUAUAUUGCUAUUGUAUCCUCGAAGCCUUCUUGCGGAGUUUGAUCUCUAUUCGCGUUUGGCUCGUUUAGAAGUCACAGUGUCAUCACUUUUGAAAACAGAUGCAGAACAGACAGAGACUAUCAGGCUUCAAGAGGUGAAGAUGAAAGAACAGUCAGAAGAAAUAAAAGAACUGAAACGGAUUAUUCACGACAUUCAGACAGAUGAAAGCUUAACGCCAGUGAAACUCAUGACACCCAAACAUGAUUCAUUGGCACAACAGCAACGAAUUCACAACAAUUAUACCGGUGAUCAUAAAUCAACAAUGAAAUUGUUAGCACAGGAAAUUGAUUGAUCUGCCAGGACAACUAAUGAAACUAUUGCCAACAACGUUCAACGAACUGCACGUCAAGGUAUGGUCGUAAGUCCAGUUGCCUUUACUGCAGUAAAAGUUAUCAAGCAAGAUGGUAUCGGAGUUAAUCAAAACAUCGAUUUCGAAAGUGUUUUCUCAACGACGGAGGUGGCUACCACACAAACUACGGGAUCUUUAUUGCUCCAGUGAGCAGAUAUUAUUUGUCCACAACGUCAUUUUUGAUCUCGACGCAAGGUAUUCGAGUUGACUUGAUUCAA
Long non-coding RNA from Dreissena polymorpha, 636 nucleotides. RefSeq lists it as uncharacterized. The record is from RefSeq and is a predicted model, not a curated record. NCBI's taxonomy places the organism in Eukaryota, Metazoa, Mollusca, Bivalvia, Myida, Dreissenidae. The transcript is spliced from 3 exons.